UACGUAGGGCGCAAGCGUUGUCCGGAAUUAUUGGGCGUAAAGAGCUCGUAGGCGGUCUGUUGCGUCGGCUGUGAAAACCCGGGGCUCAACCCCGGGCCUGCAGCCGAUACGGGCAGACUAGAGUUCGGCAGGGGAGACUGGAAUUCCUGGUGUAGCGGUGAAAUGCGCAGAUAUCAGGAGGAACACCGGUGGCGAAGGCGGGUCUCUGGGCCGAUACUGACGCUGAGGAGCGAAAGCGUGGGGAGCGAACAGG
Molecule: ribosomal RNA, 253 nt
Filed under: uncultured bacterium
Lineage: Bacteria
Description: partial 16S ribosomal RNA
Rfam family: Bacterial small subunit ribosomal RNA
Source: RNAcentral